CGGCGAGUGAAGCGGGAAGAGCUCAAAUUUGAAAUCUGGUAGCCUUCGGUUGCCCGAGUUGUAAUCUAGAGAAGUGUUUUCCGCGUUGGCCCAUGUACAAGUCCCUUGGAACAGGGCGUCAUAGAGGGUGAGAAUCCCGUCCUUGACAUGGACCCCCAAUGCUUUGUGAUACACUUUCAACGAGUCGAGUUGUUUGGGAAUGCAGCUCAAAAUGGGUGGUGAAUUCCAUCUAAAGCUAAAUAUUGGCGAGAGACCGAUAGCGAACAAGUACCGUGAGGGAAAGAUGAAAAGCACUUUGGAAAGAGAGUUAAACAGUACGUGAAAUUGUUGAAAGGGAAACGAUUGAAGUCAGUCAUGCUCUUUGGAUUAAGCCGUUCUGCGGUGUAUUUCAUUGAGCGGGGUCAACAUCAGUUUUGAUCGCUGGAAAAGGGCAGGAGGAAGGUAGCACUCUCGGGUGAACUUAUAGCCUCUUGUCGUAUACAGUGAUUGGGACUGAGGAACGCAGCAUGCCUUUUGGCCGGGAUUCGUCCACGUACAUGCUUAGGAUGUUGACAUAAUGGCUUUAAACGACCCGUCUUGA
This 580-nucleotide ribosomal RNA is filed under the name Naganishia onofrii. RNAcentral's name for it is "partial large subunit ribosomal RNA". It matches the Rfam family "Eukaryotic large subunit ribosomal RNA", at positions 87 to 657 of the family's 3401-position model. Lineage: Eukaryota; Fungi; Basidiomycota; Tremellomycetes; Filobasidiales; Filobasidiaceae. The record is from RNAcentral.